Molecule: long non-coding RNA, 488 nt
Organism: Zophobas morio
Lineage: Eukaryota; Metazoa; Arthropoda; Insecta; Coleoptera; Tenebrionidae
Exons: 3
Source: RefSeq, a predicted model, not a curated record
UUAAAACGUCAUUAAGUAUUCACAGCUGCGACCUGAAUAUGGACACAAAAGAAUAUAAAAAUUCGUUAAUUUUUGUGAUUUGGGUGGAAUAUCAUCAUGGAGCCUUUCUACACAUGAUUGCUUGAAUUAGCUCCUCGUUCUUUAUUUAUGGUCAGGGCAGACCUUAAUAGAUGCGUCGACUUCUACUGCAUAAGUUGCGAAUUUUUAAUUCGAAAUGGUACAUCGCCGAUGUGGAUUUAAAGAGAGACUUGAUUUUUCUGAUUAUGAGAAGUCAGAAAUCUCUGUUUUUGGCAACAGGAGCUUUUAAUCUGCUGAGUUUUUCGAUAUCUCUCACGGAAAUUUUAGAAGAGAGAAAUCUACAGACGAUCAUGCAAUUGUGUGUUUUUAGAUUAUGAAAAUAUCCUACUCAAUUGUAACUCUACUGCGAUAAGGUCCAAGUGCGUCUCUAAUUAUUUAAAUUUAUUGCGAAAAUCUAGGUUUCUGAAAAU